CACAGCACAAGCAACAAGAAAUUUUAUUUGAAAUUUACUUUUACAAAUUAAGAAACAACUGUGAAGGGACAGGUGAGUGGCUAGUUGGAUCUCAGAUAGCAGAUGAUGAUGCCUCAAGUAUCAAAGUGAAGAGCAGGUUAACUUAAAUUGGGGAGGAUGAAUUUGAGGAAAGCUAUUUGCUCCAUUAGUUCUGAGGAUAUUUGUGAUCAUUGUGAAUUCAGGAUGUUUCCUGUCUGUCUGUGGACAUUACAAUAGCUUCUGGACAACCAGACACAGAGCAGGCCUCACACUUUACUGCUCAUCCCAGCAGCUCAGCUGCACUUGGGAAAGACUACUUGCUCCAAUAAAAAUAUUAUUGAUAUGCUAGCACCAGCAGUGUAGAACUCUAAUUAUAGACAUG
This is a non-coding RNA of Pelobates cultripes (western spadefoot toad), 400 nucleotides long. NCBI's taxonomy places the organism in Eukaryota, Metazoa, Chordata, Amphibia, Anura, Pelobatidae. The record is from the annotation of a GenBank genome assembly.